This 253-nucleotide ribosomal RNA is filed under the name uncultured bacterium. Its description in RNAcentral is "partial 16S ribosomal RNA". It matches the Rfam family "Bacterial small subunit ribosomal RNA", at positions 524 to 776 of the family's 1533-position model. The record is from RNAcentral.
UACGGGGGGGGCAAGCGUUGUUCGGACUUACUGGGCGUAAAGGGCUCGUAGGCGGCCAACUAAGUCAGACGUGAAAUCCCUCGGCUUAACCGGGGAACUGCGUCUGAUACUGGAUGGCUUGAGUUUGGGAGAGGGAUGCGGAAUUCCAGGUGUAGCGGUGAAAUGCGUAGAUAUCAGGAGGAACACCGGCGGCGAAGGCGGCCCUCUGGAUCGUUGCUGACGCUGAGACGCGAAAGCGUGGGGAGCAAACAGG